AAAUGAUUGCAAAGUCCUUAUCAUGUUUAUAGCAGUGAUGGAAUAGACUGCUGGCUUGCAAAAGGUCUCUUUGGUAACUUCCAAAAGAUUGGAUGGUCCUCAGUCCAUUGUUCAAAAUACUCAUUUUAUGUGUAAAUCCACAGUCCAGAGAAUUGGUACAGGAAUGAGGCAAAAAAUGGAGAUGUCUCAGGUGUCUUUUAUAUCCUCUGCCAUGUACAUGGAAAUUCACUGUCCCAAACAAAGCCCACAGCCCCUUUGUAUGGAAAAUUACUGACGAAGACUGAGUCUGAGGUCACAUGUCCACAUCACAUGAUCUUACAUCUUUUGCUGAAUCACGGGUGGCCCUUGGCUCCUUGCUGGCUGAGGCAGCUGCAGGAAGACUCAUUGAAGAGCUGAUCUCCCUGAAUGGUUCAUCGACAUUGGGCUGGCUAGAUAGGAUAUAAAACUACCUUGUGGGUGUCACCCCAGAACAAAACACAUGUUUGAGAUACAAAUAGCAAAUAGUCAUUACUUCAGAUACAAAGAUGAAACAUGCAUAUAAGUAGGAUUAACAUACUUAGCAGAUUACAACUUUUCCAUUGAUAUCUUACAUGACCUACUUUUUAUAUAAGAUUUUUUGCAAUUGCAUAACACUGGUAGCAACAAUGAUAUAAAUGGUCAUCAUCAAUCAUACAGCAUCACAGAGCUUUUGGGGGGGGCGGGGGGGAGGCCUAACUAUUUACCGUAUUUUAAACCUCCAUUUCAGAAAGUAUACUAGACUCCUGUGGCUUGAUUUCUCCACUGCCUAAUCACUCAUCUCUCUGCAAAGGGAGCUGUAGAAUGCUGUCAGAUCAGACUGUGUAAGGCAGUGAAGAGUCUGGCUGCCUACUCAUUUUCCAAGUGUAGAGAGGGGCCUUAUUGUAGUGGUGAAGUCUAUUAGUAGGCCUGAUUAUCUGUUGCAUUGCACCUUGUAUAGUCAUUUACACCAAUAUAAAGUGCUGCUGAAUCAGAAUGACAGCAUUUUUUGUGCCCUUUCUGCAGUGGUAUUAAUGACUGCAGUAGGUGAAGGGCAACACACAAUUGGUUCCCGUGGCUCUAACAAUAAAUAUUGUGGGAGAGCACAGCAAUACCUUGCUAGCCAUAAGAGUAUUUUAAAAAACCAUUUUUUUAAACAUGAGAUGAUCUGAUUCUGAACUUGGGCCUCUGUCUACAAGGAAAAAAUCAGUGCAAGUGAGUAUGACCCCAUUGAUUUAAUCAUUGCUCCCAUUUACGCCAGGACUGAAUUUGGCCUAGUGCUUGUAACAGACUGAGCUAGACAGUGCUAGCUAAUUUAGUCAGAACAUAAGUUAAAGUACAAUAAGCCCUCUGAACCAGUAAAACUGUAACUAAUAGCGGGUUUCCUUGUAACAGAUGGAACGUCAUCUGUCAAGAUUUCAUAUUUGAUACAGGAUAGAAAUUAUUGGCAAAAUAGAAUUAUUGGAAAGUCUGGGUCAUGUCUCAUUAAAUUUUGGGUCCAGAGAGGAUGGAAUAAAUUACUUCAGGCACAGUCCAAAAUCAACUCAAUGGAAAGCAAAUUGACAUCCAAAAGGACAUCAGUCAGGAAAGACAGUUCAUACUUGUGUAGAUUAACUUUCCCCAACUUUGGGCUAGAAAUGUUUUCAUAUGGUUGAUUCUAUGUUCAUCUAAAUUUCUCUUUUUUUCCUAACAAACCUCAUUUACUUAAAAUCAUUGUGCUCUUGGUUUCUUUAUGAUAGAUUGACACACAGCCAUCCUGGAGAGGGAACCAAACCUUUAGAUUCUGAGGAGGUGUAAUACAGAAGACUUACAUUUGAGGGGGGAAACUGAUGCAGAAAGGUGAAGUGACUUGUCCAAGGCUAUGCAGCGAGUCAGCAGCAGGUCUGGGAUUAGAACCCGAGACCUCUUCAUUCCCAGCCCUGCUGUUUUCUCUGGAUUACACUAGUUUAAUGCUGUGCAGAUGCCCAAAGGAACAGAAGGCAGCUCAUUCCGCUUUGCUUUCCACUGCAAUGGGGAGCUUCUGCUCUACUCAGUCUGAAUUGGAAGGUGUAAGUGGUAAUUUUUCUUACAUAUUUAUAGCCACAUAAGUGAUGUGGAUGAGUAAUUGGCUAGUGCUAAGAGUUGCUGAUUAUUGUUCCCAUUCAUUUAGUCAGAAUGUAGUUUUGCAGUUAGUCUGUAAUUCCACAUCUUAAAACCCCCUGGGUAAGGAAAUACUUCUGGUCUGAUUAACAUGCUGCAAAUAAGAGCAGCAGUUGAUUAGGGUUACCAUAUUUCAACAAUCAAAAAAGAGGACGGGAGGAGCCCUGCCCUAGCC
Molecule: long non-coding RNA, 2308 nt
Organism: Malaclemys terrapin pileata
Lineage: Eukaryota; Metazoa; Chordata; Testudines; Emydidae
Exons: 3
Source: RefSeq, a predicted model, not a curated record